Acanthosepion pharaonis is the source of this 101-nucleotide non-coding RNA. The record is from the annotation of a GenBank genome assembly. Lineage: Eukaryota; Metazoa; Mollusca; Cephalopoda; Sepiida; Sepiidae.
UCACAUUGAAACACCAGUUCCUGUAUGAUCACCAAAGUUAAGCAACAUUGAGCUUGGCCUGUAUCUAGAUGGGUGACUGUUUGGGAAUACUAGUUGCUGAA